Molecule: long non-coding RNA, 308 nt
Organism: Lemur catta (Ring-tailed lemur)
Lineage: Eukaryota; Metazoa; Chordata; Mammalia; Primates; Lemuridae
Exons: 3
Source: RefSeq, a predicted model, not a curated record
GCUGGUCGUGGGGGCCCCACUGGAAACCAAUGGCCACCAGCAGACGGGAGACGUGUACAAGUGUCCGGUGACCGACGGGAACUGCACCAAACUCAACCUGGGAAGGGUCACCCUGUCCAAUGUGUCCGAGCGGAAAGACAACAUGCGCCUCGGCCUCAGCCUGGCCACCAACCCCAAGGACAACAGCUUUCUGGCCUGCAGCCCCCUCUGGUCGCAUGAGUGUGGGAGCUCCUACUACACCACAGGGAUGUGUUCAAGAGUCAACUCCAACUUCAGGUUCUCCAAGACCGUGGCCCCAGCUCUCCAAA